AUUGAACGCUGGCGGCAUGCCUUACACAUGCAAGUCGAACGGCAGCACGGGUGCUUGCACCUGGUGGCGAGUGGUGAACGGGUGAGUAAUACAUCGGAACAUGUCCUGUAGUGGGGGAUAGCCCGGCGAAAGCCGGAUUAAUACCGCAUACGAUCUACGGAUGAAAGCGGGGGACCUUCGGGCCUCGCGCUAUAGGGUUGGCCGAUGGCUGAUUAGCUAGUUGGUGGGGUAAAGGCCUACCAAGGCGACGAUCAGUAGCUGGUCUGAGAGGACGACCAGCCACACUGGGACUGAGACACGGCCCAGACUCCUACGGGAGGCAGCAGUGGGGAAUUUUGGACAAUGGGCGAAAGCCUGAUCCAGCAAUGCCGCGUGUGUGAAGAAGGCCUUCGGGUUGUAAAGCACUUUUGUCCGGAAAGAAAUCCUUGGCCCUAAUACGGUCGGGGGAUGACGGUACCGGGAGAAUAAGCACCGGCUAACUACGUG
Molecule: ribosomal RNA, 486 nt
Filed under: uncultured bacterium
Lineage: Bacteria
Description: partial 16S ribosomal RNA
Rfam family: Bacterial small subunit ribosomal RNA
Source: RNAcentral